Molecule: ribosomal RNA, 367 nt
Filed under: uncultured bacterium
Lineage: Bacteria
Description: bacterial SSU rRNA
Rfam family: Bacterial small subunit ribosomal RNA
Source: RNAcentral
AUUGAACGCUGGCGGCAUGCCUAACACAUGCAAGUCGAACGGUAACAGGCCCUUCGGGGCGCUGACGAGUGGCGGACGGGUGAGUAAUGCUUAGGAAUCUACCUUGUAGUGGGGGAUAACCCGAGGAAACUCGGGCUAAUACCGCAUACGCCUUACGGGGGAAAGCGGGGGACCUUCGGGCCUCGCGCUAUAAGAUGAGCCUAAGUCCGAUUAGCUAGUUGGUAGGGGUAAUGGCCUACCAAGGCGACGANCGGUAGCUGGUCUGAGAGGACGACCAGCCACACUGGGACUGAGACACGGCCCAGACUCCUACGGGAGGCAGCAGUGGGGAAUAUUGGACAAUGGGCGCAAGCCUGAUCCAGCGAUG